GGAUGAAGAACGCAGCGAAAUGCGAUAAGUAGUGUGAAUUGCAGAAUUCAGUGAAUCAUCGAAUCUUUGAACGCACAUUGCGCCCAUUAGUAUUCUAAUGGGCAUGCCUGUUCGAGCGUCAUUUCAACCCUCAAGCCCUAGUUGCUUGGUGUUGGGAGCUUACCCCGCCAUAUGGCGGGGUAACUCCUUAAAUUCAUUGGCGGAGUCGCGGUGACCCCAAGCGUAGUAAAUUAUUUUUCCUCGCUCUAGGUGUCGACGCUGGCUUUCCAGCCGUUAAACCCCCCCUAAAUUUAUAGUGGUUGACCUCGGAUCAGGUAGGACUACCCGCUGAACUUAAGCAUAUCAAUAAGCGGAGGA
This 357-nucleotide unclassified non-coding RNA is filed under the name soil metagenome. RNAcentral's name for it is "partial contains 5.8S ribosomal RNA, internal transcribed spacer 2, and large subunit ribosomal RNA". The stretch from base 2 to 121 matches the Rfam family "5.8S ribosomal RNA", at positions 35 to 154 of the family's 154-position model. The record is from RNAcentral.